UCACAUUAUUACCGUAUUACCUCGCCUACAACGGCAUGCCGUUAUAUUUCGAGGUAUAACGGCACCUGGUUAAAUUCACUUUAUAACGGCAUGCCGUUGUAGGCGAGGUAAUACGGUAGUUAGUUUUU
Molecule: microRNA precursor, 128 nt
Filed under: Leptotrombidium deliense
Lineage: Eukaryota; Metazoa; Arthropoda; Arachnida; Trombidiformes; Trombiculidae
Description: microRNA MIR158
Source: RNAcentral